AUGCGUUAGGGAUUGCAGCGGCAUCUUUUUCUAUUUCUGAACUGUGCCAAUGUUAAGUAAAAAGAGUUGUUGAAAUAGAAAAAAUAUAGCGAAAAGCCCGCCCGAAC
Molecule: non-coding RNA, 107 nt
Organism: Maribacter dokdonensis DSW-8
Lineage: Bacteria; Pseudomonadati; Bacteroidota; Flavobacteriia; Flavobacteriales; Flavobacteriaceae
Source: Rfam